GACGAACGCUGGCGGCGUGCUUAACACACGCAAGUCGAACGGUAAGGCCCUUCGGGGUACACGAGUGGCGAACGGGUGAGUAACACGUGGGUGAUCUGCCCUGCACUUCGGGAUAAGCCUGGGAAACUGGGCCUAAUACCGGAUAGGACCCUGGGAUGCAUGUCCUGGGGUGGAAAGCUUUUGCGGUGUGGGAUGGGCCCGCGGCCUAUCAGCUUGUUGGUGGGGUGAUGGCCUACCAAGGCGACGACGGGUAGCCGGCCUGAGAGGGUGACCGGCCACACUGGGACUGAGAUACGGCCCAGACUCCUACGGGAGGCAGCAGUGGGGAAUAUUGCACAAUGGGCGCAAGCCUGAUGCAGCGACGCCGCGUGAGGGAUGACGGCCUUCGGGUUGUAAACCUCUUUCAGCACCGACGAAGCGCAAGUGACGGUAGGUGCAGAAGAAGGACCGGCCAACUACGUGCCAGCCGUCGCAGUAA
This 478-nucleotide ribosomal RNA is filed under the name uncultured bacterium. Its description in RNAcentral is "partial 16S ribosomal RNA". It matches the Rfam family "Bacterial small subunit ribosomal RNA", at positions 28 to 523 of the family's 1533-position model. The record is from RNAcentral.